AUUGAACGCUGGCGGCAGGCCUAACACAUGCCAGUCGAGCGGAUGAAGGGAGCUUGCUCCUGGAUUCAGCGGCGGACGGGUGAGUAAUGCCUAGGAAUCUGCCUGGUAGUGGGGGAUAACGUCCGGAAACGGGCGCUAAUACCGCAUACGUCCUGAGGGAGAAAGUGGGGGAUCUUCGGACCUCACGCUAUCAGAUGAGCCUAGGUCGGAUUAGCUAGUUGGUGGGGUAAAGGCCUACCAAGGCGACGAUCCGUAACUGGUCUGAGAGGAUGAUCAGUCACACUGGAACUGAGACACGGUCCAGACUCCUACGGGAGGCAGCAGUGGGGAAUAUUGGACAAUGGGCGAAAGCCUGAUCCAGCCAUGCCGCGUGUGUGAAGAAGGUCUUCGGAUUAUAAAGCACUUUAAGUUGGGAGGAAGGGCAGUAAGUUAAUACCUUGCUGUUUUGACGUUACCAACAGAAUAAGCACCGGCUAACUUCGUG
RNAcentral lists this ribosomal RNA (484 nucleotides) under uncultured bacterium. RNAcentral's name for it is "partial 16S ribosomal RNA". It matches the Rfam family "Bacterial small subunit ribosomal RNA", at positions 30 to 507 of the family's 1533-position model. The record is from RNAcentral.